CCAUCAAUUUCUACUUCUUCUUCUUCUAACAACAAAAAAUGCUCGCACUCUUUCCCUAUUUUUCUUUUCUUUUCUUUUCUGUAAAAUCGAUUUCGUUUUUCUUUUCUCUAUUUUCUAACUCUUCAGUUUUGAGUGACAGGUCGUUACCAUCAUUAUUUUAGCAGGUCAUUGGUUCCCUGUUUAUUUUACAAGUUAGUUUUGCUUUUGUUCAAAUUUGGAAUAUUUGUUUUUUGUUCUCCUAAUUUUGAUUCCUUUCUUAUGAUUUUCAUUUGGCUUUUCUUUGACCGAUUCUAUUGUAUGUUUGAUUGAACAUAUGAAAAUUUUUUCAAUGUGGUUCUAUUACUUGUUGCGUAUAGCUUUGUAUAUUUCUGUUCCAUGAAAAAUAAUUCUUGAGGUGAAGUAUGAUUCUGUGAUGUAUCCGAGAAAGUUUAUUCUGUGAAGCCUCAUAGUUUCUGAUUGCAAGUCUUUGUUCUUUAAGGUAGCUUAGGAAUUUCUUUUAUGAACCAAAGAGCUAUCGGAUAUAGCUGAAACAUUUUAAAUGGCUAUCUACUAGAUUCAUAUUGUUACAAAUUCUUUUUAAAAAUUAAAUUUAUGGUUGAACCCAAGCCUAGAGGUAAAUGUUUUUCUGAAACUGUUGACUUGUCUUAGCCGGAUGCAGGUUUAGCUGCAGCUAUACUGAUGCAGAACCUCAGCAGGAUAUCUAUGCUAAGGGAGAUGAAUAUCACAAAUUUAGAGAGUGUGCCAAAGAACAUUGGGAUUCCAUGAGAUCUUAUUUUCAGAAGUUGACUAUUUGAUGGUAGAAUGAAUGUUCUUCUACAGGCUGCUACUGCAUAUUCAAACGGUGUGAAACUAGACGUUGUCACAUAUACCACACUUAUGAAAGCUCUUAUCCGUGUUGACAAGUUUCAUAAGAAAACUUGUGCAGCCUCUCAUGCCAUCUCAGCCUGGGAAUGUGGGGGCUACUUCUUGUUCAGGAAUAGGUAGCAAUUUGAUCAAGUUACUGAGGAUGCCAUGGUUAAUAGACUGAGCAGUUUCUCCCUUGACGAUAACAACUUUGAAGUGGUGAAGCAGCUUUGUUGCAGCAUUGCCAGUAAAUUUGAUGUUUGAUCUAAAAGUUUUUAAAUGCAUGUUUAUAUAUUUUGGAAUUAUGUUGCCACUGGAAUCUUGUUUUUCUCCUAUUGCCUAUUGGGAACCGAGGCUUGUAAUAGGGGGUUGACUUGUAUGUUUAUGAGGAUGACAGGAUCAAAUGCUAUAUUUGGAAGUUGUUUUGUUGA
This is an RNA transcript of Gossypium raimondii (Peruvian cotton), 1274 nucleotides long. RefSeq lists it as uncharacterized. The record is from RefSeq and is a predicted model, not a curated record. NCBI's taxonomy places the organism in Eukaryota, Viridiplantae, Streptophyta, Magnoliopsida, Malvales, Malvaceae. The transcript is spliced from 5 exons.